UUCUUCUACAGCUACUAUGUCUCCCUAUGC
Molecule: non-coding RNA, 30 nt
Filed under: Rattus norvegicus (Norway rat)
Lineage: Eukaryota; Metazoa; Chordata; Mammalia; Rodentia; Muridae
Source: RNAcentral